RNAcentral lists this ribosomal RNA (254 nucleotides) under uncultured bacterium. Its description in RNAcentral is "partial 16S ribosomal RNA". It matches the Rfam family "Bacterial small subunit ribosomal RNA", at positions 524 to 776 of the family's 1533-position model. The record is from RNAcentral.
UACGGGGGGAGCAAGCGUUGUUCGGAUUUACUGGGCGUAAAGGGCGCGUAGGCGGCCACCGCAAGUCGGUUGUGAAAUCUCUGGGCUUAACCCAGAAAGGUCAACCGAUACUGCGGGGCUAGAGUGCAGAAGGGGCAACUGGAAUUCCCGGUGUAGCGGUGAAAUGCGCAGAUAUCAGGAGGAACACCGGUGGCGAAGGCGGGUCUCUGGGCCGUAACUGACGCUGAGGAGCGAAAGCAUGGGGAGCGAACAGG